GCCGGGAUACCUCAUUUGGUAGAGGGGGGAACUGAAAACCCUCAAGCCUCCAGUUCAAAU
RNAcentral lists this transfer RNA (60 nucleotides) under Caudalejeunea reniloba. Its description in RNAcentral is "partial tRNA-Phe". The record is from RNAcentral. Lineage: Eukaryota; Viridiplantae; Streptophyta; Jungermanniopsida; Porellales; Lejeuneaceae.